RNAcentral lists this ribosomal RNA (520 nucleotides) under uncultured Glomus. RNAcentral describes it as "SSU rRNA". It matches the Rfam family "Eukaryotic small subunit ribosomal RNA", at positions 569 to 1090 of the family's 1831-position model. Lineage: Eukaryota; Fungi; Glomeromycota; Glomeromycetes; Glomerales; Glomeraceae. The record is from RNAcentral.
AGCAGCCGCGGUAAUUCCAGCUCCAAUAGCGUAUAUUAAAGUUGUUGCAGUUAAAAAGUUCGUAGUUGAAUUUCGGGAUUAGUAGUCUGGUCGUGCCACUGGUAUGUACUGGUCUUACUGACUUCUCCUUCUUGAAGAACCGUAAUGUCAUUAAUUUGUUGUUGCGGGGAAUCUGGACUGUUACUUUGAAAAAAUUAGAGUGUUUAAAGCAGGCUAACGCUUGAAUACAUUAGCAUGGAAUAAUGAAAUAGGACGUUCGAUCCUAUUUUGUUGGUUUCUAGGAUUGACGUAAUGAUUAAUAGGAAUAGUUGGGGGCAUUAGUAUUCAAUUGUCAGAGGUGAAAUUCUUGGAUUUAUUGAAGACUAACUACUGCGAAAGCAUUUGCCAAGGAUGUUUUCAUUAAUCAAGAACGAAAGUUAGGGGAUCGAAGACGAUCAGAUACCGUCGUAGUCUUAACCAUAAACUAUGCCGACUAGGGAUCGGAUGAUGUUAAUUUUAUAAUGACUCAUUCGGCGCCUUA